RNAcentral lists this transfer RNA (56 nucleotides) under Parachtes teruelis. Its description in RNAcentral is "tRNA-Trp". The record is from RNAcentral. Lineage: Eukaryota; Metazoa; Arthropoda; Arachnida; Araneae; Dysderidae.
AGUAAUAUAAGAAUAAUUUCUAUUAAUUUUCAAAAUUAAAAGUGUUAAAAAGAUUU